CUGAUCUCCAGACCAGGAUGGAAGCCCGGCGAGGGGUCAGAAGUGGUCAGAGCCUGAAAAAAGAGGCAUCCAUGUCUUCACUGGCAACCUUGCAAUAGUGGACCAAAGUAAUUGAAGACGACCCACCGGAAUCAACUCUCCCAAGUGCAGCACAGCCCACUUACCAGCUUCAAAGGAAUGCCAAGCAGUUAGUGAAACGCAAAGUGUCAAAUCUUCGGGGGGGGGGGGCCUUCCAAGGUAUUUGCUAGAUCCAAAGUGAGGCUCUGCUCCCAGGAAAAAGUCUUGCAUUGACAGGGAACAAAUAUUUGUGUGAUGGACCAGUUAUUAUAGAUAAC
This 335-nucleotide long non-coding RNA is filed under the name Mustela putorius furo (domestic ferret). Its description in RNAcentral is "lncRNA (ENSMPUG00000031371.1)". The record is from RNAcentral. Lineage: Eukaryota; Metazoa; Chordata; Mammalia; Carnivora; Mustelidae.